CCGCACGUCCCUCUCGCCAAAGAAAGGUCGCUCGGGAGGCUCCUGUACGUUUAUUUCUAGCCCUUUCUCUUUCCUUCGGCUAAGCCAGACAGAAAAGGCACACAGACAGACGUCUGCACAACGUGCCUCAGGAUCCCUCAGGGAAAGCAGCUAACGUGGCAGUCCCUCCGCCCCUUUCCUUCCCCACGGGGUGGCCGCCAUGUUUCCAGAACACAAAAUGGCGACACGUGGCCUGGAUUCGUUGCCAACGAGAAAUUGGGGUCGACCCGAAAGCUCCAAAAUGCCCCCACCUCCCCACCCCGUGCGUGUUGGCCAGCGCCUUUCCCUCGCAGCCAGUGCUCUAACCACUCUGGUCCAAACCUAAGCUGCCGAAUUUGAAUGCAUUUCCCCCAUUAAUUUGAAGUGGGAAUGUUUAUAACUGUAAAAUGUAGGUGUGAUGCCGAGUCUCUCAUAGUCUUAAGUUUAAUAAUGGGUAAUGGUGGGGGGGGGGCAGUGCCAGUGGAUGAUUUGGGCCCCCAGUUACCAAAGCAUUUAAGAAUCACUGCUUUAAGAAAUAAGAUGGGAAGUUACUGAUUACCUAGACCUCUAGCCCAGGCUGGUGUGCUGGAGAGACUGAGAAAUGGUCUUAUAAAAUUUCUUAGAAUUUCCAUGAAGCAGUUUGGAUACCUGUGACCAUUUUCAGAGGCUAGCUGACGGUGAACCUAAGUUUACCACAAGUGGUAUUAACUUUCAGUAUGGAGGGACAGAUGUUAUUGUGCAUUUACCAGCGCAAGAUCCUGUGCUAGCAUUUUACUGCAUACUAUCUUUAAUUUUUACAGUGAUCUGAGGUAGGUGUUAUCUUUUUCUCUCUCUUUCUCUAACAGAUGAAUUCACUUAGGCCCAGAGAGAUGAAGUGACUAAUUCAAAGUCACACAGUGGAGGAUGGAUUCCAGACCUUCUGAUUUCCUAAUUGGUGAGCACUUUCUCAAAUUUUUCUGUAAGUCAGUGUUUUAAAAUUUAAGUGCUAUUUGAAGUUUAGGUGAGCUUGUCAUUUAAAAGAACCUCUCAGGUAACCUUUUGGUGCAUAGUCACCCCGUUUGUAUCUUUUGGGGAUUCCCAGCUUUUCCUGGUGUGAACUAUACCUUGGCUCAAAUGCUAUUUAAAAAAAUUUUUUUAAUUAAAAAAUUGGUGUCUGGGUGAGAAUUGGGAGUGGGAAAUGAUUCAGCCCUACCCAAAGGCUGAAGUAUGUGUCAGUCCAGCCUUGUCUGUGGCACAUUCAAGUCUCCCUGGCUCUGUGGGAGCAAGCAGUUUCUGACUCACUUGCUUCCUUUAGCUACCCAUGGGCACGACUUCCGCCUUCCUCACCCCAGUGUCCCAACCAAGUAAAAAUAAAUAAUUUCACUUUGGCGCCAAGCCUCCAUUUCUCCGCAAAUAUUGACAGAGCAUGACAGUGUUAAGGAAAUCAUGGUCUAUGAACUCUUCAGUUCAGUGUAACGAAUAACUUGUAGGUCAAGCAAGGAAUAUGUGCCUGAACAGGGCUCUACUUGUGUGGUUGUUAGAGAUGGAGAGAAGGGCUUUUUGCUUCUUUUAACUUACAUUAAUGUCUUAUAUCAUAGUUUUCAAAGUGCCUUUGCGUUACUUUGUGUAAUUCUAUAACCAACUUUAAUUGGUGGGUACGUUAUAGCAACAAUGGCAGUACUAGCAUUAAGUGCUAACUUUGUGACUGGCACUGUUUGAAGCUUUAUUCUGUAUGUUAUUUCAGUGGCUCUCACAUUUUUUUUUUAAGUUUAUUUAUUUUGAGAGAGAAAGAGUGUGCAAGUGUGCAAGUGAGCCCCUGAGUGGGGUAGGGGUAUGUGUGUGUGUGGGUGGGGGCGGGGGGCAGAGAGAGAGAGAGAGAGAGGGAGGGAGAGAAUCCUAAGCAGGCUUUGUACCGUUAGCAUGGAGCUGGACUUGAUCUCAUGAACCCAACCAUGAGAUCAUGACGUGAACCAAAAUCAAGGGUUGGUUGCUUAACUCACUGAGCCACCCAAGUCCUCCCCUCCUUUUUUUUAAGAUUUUAUUUUUAAGUAAUCUAUAUACCCAUUGUGGGGCUCGAAUUCACAACCCCAAGAUCAGAGUCACGUGCUCCACUGACUGAACCAGCCAGGCACCCCAACAGUUUUAAAAGUAAGCCGUCAAGAGAUAACAUUUUUACAAAAUAAUUCAUAUAUACAUAGGCAUAUGUAACAGAAACCAAAUCUUUGUAAAACAGUAUUUAUUUUUACUGUAUGCGGUGUACUCUGGUAAUUUCUGUUCAUUUACAUGAAAUAAAAAGGUGUAUCACAACUGAAGUGACAAACUGUUAUAAGGUUGUGACCAAAAUGAUUAAUAUACACAUUUAAUCCUCACAAAACUCCUUAGAUGAAAGUGAUGCAAUUUAUAUUUUACAGAGAUACAGAAAGGUGAAGGAUUUUGUCUAACACACAGUUAUUAAAUAGUAAAAUAUGUAUUUGAAUUUGGGCAGUCUGAGCCCAGAGCCUGUAUAUUUACCACUGAGCUAGAUGUGGUCUCUGCAGAUGGCCUUGUCUUUAAGGGAGACAGAGUUGUUUAGGGAAUUAAAAUUAUUAGUAAAUGUUACAAACAAACUGAAGAGGCAAUAAGAGAAAUUCUAUGUAAUGAAGAGUUAUAUCCUUAUUCAAAAUACUCUGGUCUGUAUGAGGUGCUUGGGUGGCUCAGUCGGUUAAGCAUCUGACUUCAUCUCAGGUCAUGACCUCACAGUUCAUGAGUUCAAGCCCUGCAUAGGGCUCUGUGCUAACAGCUCAGAGCCUGGAACUUGCUUUGGAUUCUGUGUCUCCCUCUUUUUCUGCCCCUCCCCUGCUCACACUCUGUCUCUCUCUCUCUCUCUCUCUCUCAACAAUAAGUAAAUGUGAAAAAAAGUUAAAACAAAACAAAAUAUUUUGGUCUCUAAAUCUGUCACAUAUUUAUUUCCCCUGAAGAAAAAUGUGUAUGUUGGGUCUUUCUUCCUGUCUAUUUAAAGCCUUUUUGCCUGAAAAUUUCCAUUAAUUCCUUCUUAUCUGAGUACCUCCCUGAUUCUACUCACCUCUUCCUUCAAUAAAGACUUCCCCUUCCCAGCCUCUCUGUUUCCCCCAGAGUCCUAUAGCCCCCACACCCCCCCUGUAGGCUACGUUUGGCUGUUAAUUAAAUUGUAAUCUGCAUUGGUGUUGAUAGUGUGUUGUACAGGGCAUUGGUGUCAUGGGUGACCCAGAGAUCUGGUAAAGAGGACAUUGGACUUGGGAAUCUGUGGCUCUGGCCCCUAGCUCCAGCUCUCCCACUGUCUAACUUUGAGAAGUCUACAACCCAGUUCAAAACUGGGCUUUGGUUUUCCCACGUGUAAAACAACAGAUUAAAUGAUCUUUUCUAAUUCUAUCCAGGGAGUGAUGAUACUUGAUGAUCUUGGGUAUCUCUGGGAGGGAGGAGGAUUAUGUAAAUAUUUUACUUAUGGUAAAUUUCCCCCUCCCUUCCUCAGACCUGCAGUAUCUUGUGUAUACGUGAUUGAAUUCCACACCACCCAUUUUACAGAUGAAGCCACUGAGAUAUGGAACAAUUGACUAAAUAGUCACUGCCCCACCCCUGGAGCCUCACACAUGACUCUUCUCCUCCCAUUUGAAUGACUGCAGGUUAGUUAAGGGGUUUAAUGAGUUUGGGAAGGUGAGUCAGGCUUAGACUUUGGAAAUUGAACCACAGGAUUUAUAUUCCAUUCAGAGGAGGGAUUUUUGCUUCCUUUUACCUCACAUUGGCAUGUUUAUGAAAUGUUUUAAAGUGAUUUCACAUUAUUUACUAAUCAUCACAGGCACCCUUGCCAUAAAAGUAUAAAUAUGCCUGUUUUAUGGAAGAGCUAUCUAUAGAUCAGAGGAAUGAAGUGACUUGCCUAAGGUUACACAGCUUGUCAGGACCUGAGCUGGGUCUCUUGACUUCUAGUUGUGGAUUGUUCCUCUCCUUGGCUUUUGAUGCUAGUUGCACUGACUUUGACACAUGGAAUAGUUUUAUCUUUAACUCAGAAAGCUUUCAAUCCAGCCUUUAUUUUUCUGUCCCAGAGCAUCUAGUCCACUUAUGUUAGGUUCCUGAUUCUUUUGGUUUAAGAAAAGCUCUUUCCUCUUUUUGUCUAAUGUUUACAUUUAUGGGUUUGGGAAGUGGUGGGAAUUAUUCCUUGAUGAGGCCGUGGAGGCAGGGACCACAUCCCUGCCCCCCCCCCCGCCCCCCAAUCUACCUUUCCAGCAAAUGUACUACAGCUUUUUAAAAAUUUUUUUUUUUUUCAACGUUUAUUUAUUUUGGGACAGAGAGAGACAGAGCAUGAACGGGGGAGGGGCAGAGAGAGAGGGAGACACAGAAUCGGAAACAGGCUCCAGACUCCGAGCCAUCAGCCCAGAGCCUGACGCGGGGCUCGAACUCACGGACCGCGAGAUCGUGACCUGGCUGAAGUCGGACGCUUAACCGACUGCGCCACCUAGGUGCCCCAUUACAGCUUUUUAAAUUUGCCCUACCAACAUGCAGUUUUGCAAAAAAUAAACAAACAAAAAACCAACAUGGUUUCUUCUUCUCUUACUCUUUCAGAUUUAGCUUCUUAUAUUUCUUUUAUUUGAAAUUAUAGUAAACUGAGAGGAUAUUUACCCUAUCACUUUCUGGGAUACUACAAAGUAUAACCUACGAAAUAUUUCUUACCCACUUUGUAGAUAGGAACAAUAUUUAUAAUAAUAAUCUCAUAUACUGGUGACCCUGUGCUGCCGUUAUGGGGUUAAUACUGAGUUUUCUCAGAAACUUAAGAAAUAUAUUGGUGUGCCUUACAAAAGUGCCCAGGAAAUACAGCAGCAUCCUUGGUCUAAGUUCUCCCGGUUGGGGAAAGUAAUGCCUAUGGAUUCCCAAGGGUUACUCUGACUGAAAUAAGUCAUGGAGAAUGGAGUGCAGAGAAAAAUUAAAGGAAAAAUGAGAACAGAGUACAAAUGUAAAGUAUAGAAAAUGAGGAAGGAAAAAAGAUAAGAAAAGGAAAAAGACAAGGGCAGAGAAAAGAGAAGAAAACAAGAUCAGUGGAACGGAUAUGAAGAGAACAAUUCCGAGGUUCAUUUGCUCCUUAUGUGAUGUGGGAAGCAUAGGCUUGCACCAAGAAAGAGCACCUGGUAUGAGAACUCAUGAACUGAUCUGAAGCACCAUGUCUCUUUUUGAAUCUUCUUUUUCUAAUAUCAAGUAGGGAAAAUUUGUUUCUACUAUCAGCUGGGGAUGUGAUUAGACACCAAUAGUUUCAAUAUUAGCCUUAGUCCUAUUGGUUUAUCAAGGAAAAUGUGCUAUAAAAAUCACAUUAAAGUAUUCCAGGUCAAAUUUUAUCCUAUUCAUUCAGUAAGCAAUUUUUUUUUCAAUUAUUACUAUUUUUAAGUUUAAUUUUACUCUCAGUGUGGGGCUUGAACUCACUACCCCAAGAUCAAGAGUUGCAUGCUCUACCAACUGAGCCAGCCAGGCACCCCAGUCAGCAAAUACUUAUGGAUUGCUUGAUAUGUCCCAGACACUAAGGAUAUAAAAAUGAAUGAGAUCCUGUUCUUGCCUUCAAGAUGUUUAUGAUCUGGAAAGGGACACUGACAAGUAAACAGAUUUGCAGUACAAUAUGUUAAGGUAUUAGGAUAUAAGUAAGCAGAGGAUGCUACGGGCUUAGAAGAAGGCCCUUGAUUCAGCCUUGGAGGGAAUCCAGAAUGACUGCCUAGCGAAGGUGACAUUUAGGCUGAGUCCCAAGUUGGCAGAUUACAAGGUGGAGGGCAGGAAAGAGUAACUCCAGGCAGGGAAGCAAAAGCCCAAAGGCAGAGAGUAUGCAGUCCAUUCAGAAGUUGAAGCCACUUCAGGAAGGUAUGAAGGAUGUUUGCAUGAUCCAGUUUUUUGUGAUUGUUGUACUGCUUUAGAAGUGUACAUUAUUGAGACUUGAUUAUGCUUACUAGAGCACAAAAAGUCUAAAUCCUUAUUUUGUAGCAGGAUUCUCUUUUAAGAUGAAGGUAUCAGAGGGACAUCUGGAUGGCUUAGUUAAGCGUCUGACUUCCUGCUCAGGUCAUGAUCUCACAGUCUGUGGGUUCAAGCCCCGUGUCAUGCUCCGUGCCGACAGCUCAGAGCCUGGAGCCUACUUCAGAUUCUAUGUCUCCCUGUCUCUCUGUCUGUCCCCUGCUUGCUCGCUCUCUCUCUUUCAAAUAUUAAAAAAAUUUUUUUUGUAAAAGAUGAAGCUAUCGCAAAUUGUACUUCUGGUCUAUAGAUUGUAAGAAGAAAAUGUAAAUAAAGCACAGUCUUUGAAUUAGCAAAUGGUUAUUAAACUUCUGUGCAAUAAAGGAAAGAAGGUGCAAGGCAUAGCAUAUCCCCCCGCCAUUUUUUUUUUCUUUAGGAUUUUAUUUUUAACUAAUCUCUGUACCCAAUGUGGAGCUCAGACUUACAACCCCUGAGAUCAAGAGUCGCAUGCACCAUUCACUGAGCCAGCCAAGCGCCCCAGCAUAUCCCUUUCUUAUCCAACUUUUGGAUUUGAUUGUAUUCUGCUUUGUUUUUAAGGAGGUGUAUGUGUGGAAGUUUAGGGUCUUUGUUUAGUUGGUUAGGAUCUUUGAGUUAGGGGGGAGGGAAAGGAUUUCAAGAAUAAUUGCUACUUUAUGGCAGAACAAAAGAAAUACAUUUAAAAAGCUCUUUUUUUUUUUUUAAUGUUUAUUUAUUUUUGAGACAGAGAGAGACAGAACAGGAGCAGGGGAGGGGCAGAAGAGAGACAGGGAGACAUAGAAUCUGAAGCAGGCUCCAGGCUCCGAGCUGUUAGCACAGAGCUGGAUACAGGACUUGAACUCACGAACCGCAAGAUCAUGACCUGAUCCAAAGUCAGACGCUUAACCAACUGAGCCACCCAGGUGCCCCUAAAGCUCAUUUUUCUGAUCUCACCUACUGAGCACAAACAAGACUUAGGGAACAUUGUUAGUUAAUUCAACCAGACAAAGCAUUUAACAUUAUUCCCUAUGUAAAAUCUGUUGUGGACAUGGAUAUAGCUGCAUUAAAUAAAAACCUUAUGUGUAUUCAUUGGACAAUACUGGGAUUUUACCUGGAGUAAAAGAAAAAAAGUACUAUAUGUAGAGUAGGGAAGAACAUGCUUGGAAAAUAGCACACAGAUUCAGUGGUCAUUUCUCAGUCAUCUUCUUGACCCUGUAGCACCUGAAACUCCCUCCUUGCACAUUAGUUUUGUUUGACUUCCAGGAUGCCACUCUGUUGGUUUCCCCCCUCCUCACCAGCCCCUCCUUCUCACCCCCCCACCUUUUGGCUGAUUCCUCCUUAUCUCCUCAGCCUCUAAUGAAGGAGUACUCAGAUUAGUCCUUGCAUCCCUUCUCUGUUUAUACUCAUUCCCUAGGUGCUCUCUUUCAAGACCUCAAAUACCAUUUAUACCCUGAGAGCUCUCAAGUGUAUAGUACUAGCUUGGAUGUCUUCCCUUGAACUCAAGACUCAUAUCCAACUGCCUACAAGAUAUCAUCUCCACUUGGUUAUUUAAUAGCUUCUUGAGCUUAAUGUAUUCAGCAAAUUAAUUCUGGAACUUCUCUUCUCAAACAUGUACCUCUGCCAAUUCUUCCCCAUUUUAGUUUCAGUUGUAUUGAACAUAUGGAGGACUCUCCCUUGACUCUCUUCCUUUUCUUGCUCUCUUCAUCUAAUCUACUAGUAGGUCCUAUGAGCUCUACCUUAAAAAACAUCCCGGAUUUGAACACUUCUCACCACUUCCCCUGCUACUUUUAGAAUAGCCUUCUAAAUUGUCUUCCCUCAGUCUAAUCUGAACAGUGACCAGAGUCGUUUUGUUAAGUUUACAUCAAAUCAUUCCACUCCUCUGCUGAAAACUAUUCACUGGGUCCCACCCAUGUUAAAAAUUAAAGUCCUUACAGUGAUCUAAGAGGCCACAUAGCAUAUUCAGUGCUCCCCCAGCUGCUCUGACCUCAUCUUUUAUCACUUUCUCCUUGUGCUCUGGACACAUUGGUCUCCUUGCAGUUGCUCCAGCAUGCCAAGCCUUGAACUUCUUAGUGGUGUUCUUUGCCUGGAAUACUUCUUCCAGUUACCAGUAUGGUCUCCUUCCUUACCUCCUUCAGGUUUCUGCUCUUGUCACCUAGUUUGUGAAACAUUCCUUGACCAUCCUAUUUAAAGUAAAAGCCAUCUCCUGCCCUCUUCAUUCCUUCUUCCCUUUUCCUGCUGUAUUUUUCUCCACAGAACUUAUCACUGUUUGAGGUACUAUUCAUUCAUUCAUUCUUCACAUAUUUAUUGAGGGAUGCCUACUAUGUGCCAAGCACUGUACUGGGGACUCUCUCUACUAUAGUAUGUUUAUUAUUUGUCACCUGCCACUGGAAUGUAAAUUUCCUGAUGACUAGGACUUUGUUUUGCUUGUUGCUAUAUUGCCAUCUCCUAGAAUACUGUCUAGCACAUUGCAGUUGAAUGAAUACAUUUAUUCAGAUUUUAAACAAAAACGUAUUGAAUGUAUAGGGGAUUGUGUACCAGAUAAUGAGGGAAAGAUAUGUAUAAAUAAUAUAUUGUUCCUGCCCUCAAGUUGCUCAGUCUAAAAUAUGCUUAUUUUGACCUGAACAGUACUGUGUUCUCUAACAGGAUAAAGUGUUACAUCAUUUUGUAAUUGGGGAGGUGGAGGUAGGGACUAGUGUGCAAGGGUAUGGAUCUCUUCAGAGGUGAAGUCUUGCUUUAUCAGGCUUAUCAAUAAUUUGUACUGGUUCUGGGAGGGCAGGAUUGCUGAUAGCUCACUGCAUUACUGGCUUUUUGGAUUGUAAUUUCUGUUUAGUUUUGUCUUUUUGGGGCAGGAGCUUCUUUAAAAUCCUGCUAUCAGUCUUGGUUCUUUUUAGAUAUCUUCUAGGAACCUCUGUCACAGCCACUUUUUUCUUUUUUUUUUUUUUUUAAUUUUUUUUUUUCAACGUUUAUUUAUUUUUGGGACAGAGAGAGACAGAGCAUGAAUGGGGGAGGGGCAGAGAGAGAAGGAGACACAGAAUCGGAAACAGGCUCCAGGCUCUGAGCCAUCAGCCCAGAGCCUGACGCGGGGCUCGAACUCACAGACCGCGAGAUCGUGACCUGGCUGAAGUCGGACGCUUAACCGACUGCGCCACCCAGGCGCCCCACAGCCACUUUUUUCAAGAUAAGUGAAGGAGUUUACUAUCUUUACCUUCCUCCAUAUCUGAAAGUUCUUUUCCAGAAACUGUGGUCAUCGAUGUACUAACUGUUUGGUCUUGAACCUCUCAGAACCUCAGUUUCUGCACUUGUCAAAUGGAGAUAACGAUAAAUGACAUCAGUCUUUCUUCUUUUUAAAAAAAAAUUUUUUUUAAUCUUUAUUUUUGAGAGACAGAGAGACAGCAUGCGAGUGGGGGAGGAAUAGAGAGGGAGACACAAAAUCCGAAGCAGGCUUCAGGCUCUGAGCUGCCAGCACAGAACCCAAUGUGGGGCUCGAACUCACAAACCGCGAGAUCAUGACCUGAGCUAAAGUCAGACGCCCAACCGACUGAACCACCCAGGCACCCCGACGUCAGUCUGUCUUCUUAUGAGGAUGAAAUGAGUAAAUACUGAUUUUGAGAGUGGGGCAGUAGAGAAGGGAAAGAGAGAAGAAUUUCCUUUUUUUUUAUAAAGUAUUUUUAAAAAGUUUAUUUAAUUUUUUAAAAUCUUUUAUUUAUUUUUGAGAGAGCAGGGGAGGAACAGAGAGAGGAAGACAGAAUCUGAAGCAGGCUCCAGGCCCUGAGUUGUCAGCACAGAGCCUGAUGUGGGGCUUGAACCCGUGAAUGGUGAGAUCAUGACCUGAGCUGAAGUUAGACACUUAACUGACUGAGCCACCCAGGUGUCCCUAAAGUUUAUUUAUUUAUUUUGAGAGAGAGGGAGAGAGAGUGUGUGCUAGUGGAGGAGGGGCAGAGAGAGAGGGAGAGAGAGAAUCCGAAGCAGGCUCUAUACUAUCAUCACAGAGCUCGAUACAGGGUUUGAACUCACAAACUGUGAGAAUAUGACCUGAGCCGAAAUCAAGAGUCAGAUGCUUAACCAACUGAGCCACCCAGGUGCCACUGAAAAAAAAAUUUUUUUUUCUUUAUGUUUAUUUAUUUAGAGAGUGUGAGCUUGGGAGGGGCAGAGAGCCGAGAGAGAGGGGGGGACAGAGGAUCCGAAGAGGCCUCUGCGUUGACAGCAGUGAGCCCAAUGUGGGGCUCGAACUCACAAACUGUGAGAUCAUGACCUUAGCCAAAGUCAGAUGCUUAACCAGCUGAGCUACUCAGGAACCCCCAAAAAACUUUUUAAUACGCUUAUGUUUCAUUUCUACCGAGAGUAGUGAAGAUUUUUUUUAAUAUAUGUUUUUAAAUGUUUGUUUAUUUUGAGAGAGAGAGAGUGUGAGCAGGGGAAGAGUAGAGAGGGAGACAAGAAAAUCCCAAGCAGGCUCCACGCUGUCAGCACAGGGCUCGACGUGGGGCUUUAUCUCACAAAUCGUGGGAUCGUGACCUGAGCCGAAACCAAGAGUUGGUUGCUUAACUGAAUCACCCAGGAGCCCCAUAAAGAUUUUAUUUUUAAAAACAAAGAUGUUAGGGUCCUGGGUUUGGGCUUUAGGGUUAAACGUAAAAAAAAAAAAUGAUUAUUUAAAAAAAUACAUUAAUAUAUUGUUUUUUACAGAGUAACAGGUUUUUAGAAAAUAUUUCCUUGUGUUUCUACUCAGGUUAUUACUUUUGUAUUACAGAAGGGCAGUGAAAUACUAGAACCCCACCCCAGGCUGCGUGGUGAGCUGGUGUCUACGUAGGCAAACAACCAUUUCCUUUUAGGUGAAGUUGGAGUUCAGGAAGUACUAUUUGAAGAGGCUCAAAGGGAUUGAUGAUGAUAACAACAGCAAUAAUAGUAGUGUCUAACUGAUGAACCAGGCACUUUAUGUAGAUUGUCUUAUUUUAACAGCAUAGCAACCACAUGAAGUCUGGUGCCUUGAGAAGUACAGCAGUGUAGGAGUAAAGAGCAUAGACUCUGGGGUCAAACUUUCUGUACUCACUUCACAGCUUUGCCAGUAACUAGCUGUGUGGUCUUGAGUGAGAAAACUGCCUCUUCUUCUUCUGUAAGAUGAAGAUAAUAAUAGUAACUGCUUCAUGAGGUUGUAACGAUUAAAUGAUGUAAGCCCUGUAAAGCACAGUACUUGGCAUAUAGAAAGUGCUCACCAAAUUUUAUUGUAAUAAAAGUAGAUGGAGAAACAGAGGCUUAGAAAGAGGGAAGUUAAUUUGCCUUAGUGACACAGCAAAUAUAAAUGACAGAACAGUAAUUUGUGCCUGGGAAGUCAAACUCCAUUGCCCUUCCUUCCUUCCUUCCUUCCUUCCUUCCUUCCUUCCUUCCUUCCUUCCUUUCUUCCUUCCUUCUUCCUUCCUUCUUUCCUUCCUUAAAUAGGCUCCACAUGGGGCUUGAACUUAAAACUUUGAGAUCAGGAGUUGCAUGCCACUGACUGAUCCAGCCAGGCACCCCAUUCAGCGCUCUUGUUUCUUAACCAUUACAUUGUACCGCCAUUAUGGAUUGAGGGUGAGAGCCUGGACAAGAACCAUAUUUUGUCCAACUUGAGGUGAGCAUAGAUCUAAAGGUCACACUUGGGUUCAGACCUAUGGAAGCUUUAUUUGUGCUCUUUUUUUUUUUUUAACAUUUUAAAUUUAUUUUUUGAGAGAGCAAGGGCAGGGGAGGGGAAGAGAGAGAGGGAGACACAGAAUCUGAAGCAGCUUCAGGCUCUGCACAGAGCCUGAAGCAGGGCUUGAACUCAUGAACUAUGAGAUCAUGACCUGAACUGAAGUCAGACACUUAACCAACUGAGCCACCCAGGGACCCCUUUAUCUGUGUUCUUAACACUGUAGCAUGUACUGGUUAUUCUCUGAAGUGAUUGUUCCCUAGAUCCAAACAAAUGAAUGAGUGAUGGGUUAUUUAUGGUCUGCUGAGGGGUUGAGUGUUCCCUGGCUGGGGCCAGGAAAUGGAGCUGAAUAAACACCUGUAUCUUACCCACUGCUCUUGGACCUAAGUAGGAGCUUGUCUAGUGUCUUUUGUUAUUAUGAUUGUUACUCCUUAUACAACUGGUAAUGAUGAGAAGCUGAGCAGUGUAUAUAUCAAGCACUUUAUUUUUUAUUUUAUUCAUUUAUUUUUAAAAUUCUUUCUCUCUCUCUCUCUCUCUCUCUCUCUCUCUCUCUCUCUCUUUCUUUCUUUUGUGCGAAUCAGGGAAGGGAGCAGACAGAGAGAGAGAAUCUCAGAGACUCCACGCUCAGUACACAGCCCAACUCGGGGCUCAGUCCCAUAACCCUGGGAUCAUGACCGGAGCCAAAACCAAGAGUUGGGUGCUCAACUGACUGAGCCACCCAGGCACCCAGUAAAUAUUUUAUUUUUAAGUAAUCUCUGCACCCAACAUGGAGCUCGAACUCACAACCCCGAGAUCAAAAGUUGCAUCCCCUCCCAACUAGGCCAGCCAGGAGCCCCUACAUUGAGCACUUUAUGUGCCAUGCAUUUGACAUAGAUUAUCUCAUCUAGUCCUUAAUGUAACCGUAUGAGGUAGUCACUCCUAACCCUAUUUUAUAGAAACAGAGAGAUUAGGAAACUUGCUUAAACUCACAUAGUGUGUGUGGUGGAGCUGGGAUUUGAAUACACAGUCUGACUCUAGAGUCCACAUUCUUGAUCUCUACACUCUAUUGUUUCUAUUCUUUCCUGUGUAAAGUAUAUAGUAUAUGGUAGGUGGCUUAGUAGGUCCAGUCCUGUUUUUCCCAUCUGAAAAAUGGGAAGAUUUUGACUAGUGGGCUAGAAAUAAGGAGGCCUGUGAUCUUGUCCUAACCUUGUCACCAACUUGCCACAUCCAGGACUUCACUUUUCUUAGCCUCAUUGUCCUCAUUCAUUAAACAAAAGGGUCACUCUAGAUGGUCUCUGAGAUCCCUUCUAACUCUUAAUGUUCUGAUUGACCAUAUGAAGUGAGGAGAAUAACACCUGCUCAACUCCUUGAUUUUGGAGUGGUGGUAUUUGUGAGGUUUUAGGGAGUCUGCUUUGUGUAAGGGAAGAUGCCAGAUUUUAGGACAGAGAACAUUGCUUUCCUGAAGAAGGUAGGUCUGGGCUCUUUUUUGAGGGUGGUUGCCUAGGGAACCUAGCCUCUGGCCAGCAACAGUCAGGAAUGCUUUGGUUAAGAGUUGGCUACAGAUAACUAAAACAAGCAGCACAUUUAGGUUUCACUUUCCACCCUCCCCCCCCCCCCAGAUACCUUUCCUUUUCAUGCUCCCAGUUUGAUACACUUCUAUAUAUUAGUAUUUAACAGGAGUUUGUUAUUUAAAUUUUUAUUGUAAUCUUAUGAGGUAAGUACUAUUCUAAAUUUACAGUUAAUGAAAGUGAGGCAAAUAGAGUUAAAUAAUUUGUCCAUAGUUACUCAAGUGGAAAGUGGUAUUCAACCCACUAUGUUGUACUGCCUGGUAGGAACUUAAAAAAAAAAAAAAAGCAAAGGGAGGAUUCUUUAUUUAUUGGUGGUGUUUUGUUUUGUUUUUUCUUUAAAAAGUUUUUUUUAAGUUUAUUUAUUUUGGUAGAGUGUGAGCAGGGUAGGGGUAGAGUGAGAGGGUAGAGAGAGAAUCCCAUUGUGGGGCUUGAACUCAUGAACUGUGAGAUCAUGACCUGAGCCGAAAUCAAAUUGGACACUUAACCAGCUGAGCUACCCAAGUGCCCCUGUUUUUGUUUUCUUUAGAAUAGUAGACUCUUGGAGUUGGAAAGAGCCUUUACCAUAGUCAAUCUCCUUGCCUACUGUCUGCCAUCUGGUUACAGGAACGCUUUCCAUCAUACCCCUGACAGAUGAUCACCCAAGUUCUUUUUGAAUACUUCCAUUGCUGGGGAGCUAGCUCAUUACUUCUUGAGGAAUCCCAUUAUAUGUGACUUGUUCUCUUGGGUAAGAGAUUAUUUCUUGUUUUGAAAUUAAAUCUAAUUGAGAUGACUUACCAGUUUUAGGCCUGUCUUCUGGAACCGUUUAGGAUAAUUAUGAUCCAUCUUCCAUAUGCCAAUCUUGUUAAUGUUUGAAGACCCUUUUCCUAUUUAUAAGUCAUUUGUAGUUUUCUCAUAGCAUCUAAACUUGCUUUCAGUUUGGAUUGGUCUGCACAAAGCAGUCUCUAUUUUUUAUUGCUUUGCAAGUGCAGCCUUGCAACAGAUCUGUGCUUCACUUCUUAUGGUUAGGCACAAAGUAUGGGCUCUUUCCACAUCUUUGGAGAACGAAUAAAUGGUGAGCUGAGUCUCUACUAUAGUAUAUGAGUCUGAAGGGUUUGCAGUUUCCUACUCUUGUAAUCUAAUGUCCAUUAGACUGUUGCCCUGUACACACUGUUAGAGCUCACAAAAUGGCUGGAAGUUUAUCCGGGCAUUUGACAACAUUGCAUUUACUUCAUCAGGCCACUAGGUGAUGAACAACUCACAAACCCAGACUUCCAGGGGCAGUUGUAUACAGGACAGUUUUAGAUUGUAGUUGGAAAGGCUAUCAGAAGUCAUUUGGUACAACCUUAUUAAAAGGUCUUUUGGGGAUGGGGGGAGGGGAAACAUGUCUUGUGUAUACUUUGUCUUUCCCAGCUUUAUUCCAAUUUUAAAUAUUAAUUUGAAUAGGGUACUUCUUUCUCUGAGUGAUCUUAGAAAAGGGGCCUGGGUGGUACUUUCAAGGUUCUUUUGUGCCCAAUUAUGUAUAUGUAUAUUUCAAAGGUUUUAUUUUUAAGUAAUCUCUACCCAACGUGGGGCUCAAACUUAUAGCCCUGAGAUCAAAAGUCUCAUGUUCUACCAACUGAGCCAGCCAGGUGCUCCUGUAUUUUACCAUAAUGUAGGAAUGAUGUCUUGGCUUGGUUUAGGAUUCUCAAAUAGUAGUUCUAGCCACUACAAAGUCUACAUGCAGCUUUCUUCUGUCUUCAGUUUCAAGUGAUACAGAUGGGAAGUCCAGUGCCAAUAGGAUUAUUUUUCCUUGUAAGUAAUUACCUGUCCUUUCUCUUUGGAAGUUUGUAAAUUUUUUUCUUCAUGCUUAGAUUUCAUCAUGAUAUGCUUUGGGUGUGUUUCUUUUUAAAGUAACUCUGCUUGCCCCUUGUUAACCUUUUUUAGAUCUAAAAACUUAAGUCUUUUCUUAACUCAAGGAAGUUUCCAUCUGUUUCCAACCUUCACAGAAGAAGAAACUGUCCAGAAAGAUGACUUACUCAAGGUCACUCAGCUAGUUAAAAAUGAACUUCAAGCAAAUAACUUGACUUCUUUGAUGACCUAUAUUUUCAUUGUACUGAAUAUUGCUCUGUUGAGAGGGCCAACAUGAAAAACUUGGGAAAUUUUUUAGUGAGACACGAAUUUUGCUGAGGGUCCGUGGGGACAUGAAGAAGGACAAAGAGAUGAUAAAAUUAAUUAUGAUUAAAAUGUGGCCCAUUUGGGGGCUCCUGGGUGGUUCAGUUGGUUAAGUAUCUGACUCUUGAUCUCAAUUUAGGUCAUGAUCUCACGUUUUGUGGGUUUGAGCCAUGUUUCUGGCUUUGCAAUGAUGGUGUGGAGCCUGCUUGGGAUUCUUCCUUUUUCUCCUUCUUUCUUCCCCUCCGCACUCAUGCUUGCAAGCUCUCUCUCUCUGAGACUUUCUCAAAAUAAAUAAAUAAAAAUGUGACGCAUUUGAAGAACUAUAAAAUUCACAAGGUAUCCCAGUUACUGGAGUUAACCCAGAGCUCUAAAACUUAAUAAAGCUAGUUUUGCAAGGGAGAAAGACUUGAUAAAGCCAGGAAGUUUAUUGAACACUUGGAUAACUAGAUACUUAGUUGUCAGGAGUUGGGUAAGUAUGGUCAUGCCCUAUUGUAAAUAUUGGAAAACAUAUGAGUAUCUGAAGGCUUGGAGACAGACAUCAUAAAUUGUGUCUUAUCAGUGGUCUGGUUUCUGUUUUGAGUUCCAGCCUGGGACCCUUUUCUGCUGGGAACCACCUGUCCCUGGCUCUGUUGAUCUUUGGAUUUCCCCAGCCCUCAGUCCCUUUCAGUUUUGAAAUGAAACCUACCCCACCGGGUGAGGUCAGGUACUGAGAGAACUUUGACAGCUCAUACCAGGUUGUUUUUUUUCUAGAGUCUGGUAUGUGACUGUGUGAAGUGUAAGGCUCAGCAGGCUGUGAUAUAGACUAAUUGAUGGUGAAUCACCUGUUGGGUAGGGCCCAGGUAGUGCCAUUUCUUUGGGUAACCAGGAAAACAUGUAGACCAAAUAUGUUGUCUUUCAUCCUCAGACACUUGAAACUUAAGAGUACAGUCACCAGAGAUCUGCCAUGAUCUCUCUGCCUUGGGUUACUACAGAAGGAAAGACAUUGUUUUAUUUCAGUGUCUUUUCUCCUCAUUUUUAGAACCUCCAUUCUUUUCAGGAAGGAGCCAAGUCCUUGGCCUCUUUCUGCUGCUCCAGCUUCUAAAUGUUUAUACUGUGCCUCCUGGAAUUGCUGCUUUGAUGUGAAGUGUCUCCUCUAGAUACCCCUAGACACACAUGCCCUGCCCCAACCCCUUCACAGAAUUUAGCUUCCCCUUUUCCCUUUGUUGUGAAACUAGUUUCCAUGAUGCUAUAGCACUUUGCUUGGAAUCUUUAUAAGUGGUACUGGCUCUUUCUGUAACUCACCCCAUACCACUUCCCCCUGAUUUUACCUGACUGUCCCCCAGCCACAUCCCUCAGCACUGCAAAACUGCUUCCAGACUUUCAAAUACUUUUCCCCCUUUGAGACUUCUGCUGGCCAGCAAGGUUACCUGAUCCUUGUCCUUGAGUACAGUUAGCAUCUGUACUCAACAUGGGGCUCAAACUCACAACCCCCAAAUCAAGAGUUAUAUGCUCUACUGACUGAGCCAGUCAGGUGCCCCUCAUUCUCCCAUGUUUGUUUAAAAUUUUAGUGUUUGACCUCUCCUCCUGGGACUCUGGCCCAGGCUAGGGGAUUGGUGGUCAGGUUUGGCCUGGGUCUAGUGACUCAGGGUAGACGGUGGAAUUAGGGAGCUUGGUGUCAACAUCUCAGAUGUGGGCAGAUGGGAAACUGUAAGAUCUGAACACCAGAGCCAUCUGGGGUGGAAGGGACAGAGAAAAUUUAGCAUCUGAAGCAAAGGACAUCCUUUGUAGGUUCCCUCUUCUGCUCAUUUGAAAAAAAAUUAAGGGGUGCCUGGGUGGCUCAGUCAGUUGGAUGUCGGACUCUUGAUUUCAGCUUGGGUCAUGAGCUCGCAGUUUGUUGAUCUGAGCCCUGCGUCAGGCUUCAUGCUGACAGUGCAGAGCCUGCUUGGGAUUCUCUGUCUCCUUGUCUCCCUCUCUUUCUUCCCCUCUCCCACUUCUGCACACCUGUGCCCUCUCAAAAUAAAUAAAAAUAAAAAAAUUUUUACAAAUUAAGUUUUUUUAUAACAGUUUUAGGUUCACAGAAAAAUUGAGGGGAAGAUAACAGAUUCCCAUGAUUAUUAUUUUUAAGUAAGCUCUAUGUGGGGCUCAAACUCACAACCCUGAGAUCAAGAGUCACAUGCUCUCUCUCUGCUCCUCUCCCCUGCUGUGCACGCUGUCCCUUUCUCUCUUUAAAACAAAACAAAACAAAAAAAGAGUCACCUGCUCUACUGACUGAGCCAGACAGGCACCCUGAGAUCCCCAUUAUUUUUGAAAAAUUGAUCUUUAAUUUCAUAGGGAAUAUAGUAAUAUAAUCUAAAAAAAAUGAAAAUCGGUAGACAUUUUGAAUUCUCUUGUUCUCCUCCCAUUCUCAUUUCACUUAUUUUUGUAUUCCUCAAAGGUGGUAACCUUGUUAGUGUUUGAAAUGUAGCUUCUAGACUUUUUUCUUUGUGUUUACAUACAUGUGUAUGAACCCAGAAAAAGAGUUAUUUUUGUGUUUAUACAAAUGGGGUCACAUUUUACGUAUUAUUUCAGUAUUUCUUUGAUUCAGUAAUGUACCUGGAUAAUAUUUCAUGUUGAUACAUAAAGAUAACUUCUCCUUUAUUUUGGCUACUGUGUAGUUUUUUGUAUAAUAGAUACACUGUGUAUAGCUACUUUCCUAUUGAGAGACAUUAAGGUAUUUCCAUUUUGAUGCUAUAAAUGAUUCUUGUUGUGUUUUAAAUGUUAGCAUUCUUUCCUAGGGCUUCUUUUUUCUUUUUCCUCAUACUCUUCCUAGGUGAUCUCAACUUCUCUGACAGCUCCACUUAACCAUCUACACAUGGAUGAUGCCCAGAUCUUUCUAUGGACCACAGUAUCCAACUGCUCAUGUAGACAACAUCGCAAGGAUGUUUUGCAUACUCGGCAAAAUGCAGUCUCCUGCUCUUCCCCACUUGCUCGUCAUCCAUUGUCCUCAUCACAUGUAAGUAGCACACUCUUGAUAGGCCCAAAGCCUGGUAGUCAUUCCCUUCCCCUCGUACAGCCAGCAACCAGCCUGUCACUAGGACUUUUCCUCCCCAUUAUUUCUUGGAUCCAGUUGCUUUCUUUCCUUCUUCAUUGCGGGUACUUUGUCCCUUAGUUUUCUGAUUUAUAAAAUAGAGUAUUUGUGAGUACUAAAUAAAUUAACACACAUAAAAUGCUUAGAACAAUAGAUUGGCACCCAGUAAGUGCUAUGUGAAUAUUGAUUAUUGUCAUCAUCAUCGUCACCGUUGUUGUUGGGGUCUUCUCAUCUUAGUGUACAUAAUCCAUUCUCAUAUCUACCUCCAGUCUUGAUUUUAUCCUUCCCUACCUCUGUUCCAUUCUGCACAUUGUAGCCAGAGUGAUCUUUAUAAUAUAUACAAAUGAUCAUGGUCUAACUUUCCUGCUUAAAACAACUUCGGUGAUUUCACAUUGGGCUUUUACAUGUACUGUCACCCCCAUCUGGAAUGCUUUUUCCUUGGUCUUUGCAUGGUUAUUUGUUUUUUUGUUUGUUUGUUGUUUUGAUAUACCUGUUUCUAAAUGUCAUCUUCUCAGAGAGGCCUUCCCCUGACCACCUAAUUAUUCCAAAGUAGCCAUACCUAUUCUUUCUAUCACAUCACCUUUUUUAAUCUUUGCAUAACACUUAUUAAUACGUUAUUUUUCUGUCUUAUUCACGUAUUUGUUUAUAAUCUCCUUCAAUUAAUUUUUUUUAUUUAAUUUUUUUUUUAAACUAGGCUCCACACCCAGUAUGGGACUUGAGCUCAUGACCCUGAGAUCAAGAGUUGCAUGUUCUACCAACUGAGCCAGCCAGGCAUCCCUAGUCUCCUUCAAUUAGAAUUAAAUUCUCUGAGAAAGACAGAUACAUGUUUUCACUCAUAUGUGGAAUUUGAGAAAUUUAACAGAAGACUAUGGGAGAAGGGAAGAAAAAAAAACAGUUACAAACAGAGAGGAAGGCAUUUCAUAAGCGACUCUUCAAUACAGAGAACAAACUGAGGGUUGAUGGGGGUGUGGGGUUGGUGGAACAGGGAAAAUGGGUGAUGGGCAUUGAGGAGGACACUUGUUGGGAUAAGAACUGGGUGUUGUAUGUAAGUGAUGGAUCAUGGGAAUCUACUCCUGAAGCCAAGAAUACACUGUAUACACUGUAUGUUAGCUAACUUGACAAUAAAUUUAUAUUAAAAAAAAAAAAGAAUUUUCUG
RNAcentral lists this long non-coding RNA (19478 nucleotides) under Lynx pardinus (Iberian lynx). Lineage: Eukaryota; Metazoa; Chordata; Mammalia; Carnivora; Felidae. The record is from RNAcentral.